Molecule: ribosomal RNA, 922 nt
Filed under: Microbacterium trichothecenolyticum
Lineage: Bacteria; Bacillati; Actinomycetota; Actinomycetes; Micrococcales; Microbacteriaceae
Description: bacterial SSU rRNA
Rfam family: Bacterial small subunit ribosomal RNA
Source: RNAcentral
AGGGGAAGGGGGCUGCUUACCAUGCAAGUCGAACGGUGAAGCCAAGCUUGCUUGGUGGAUCAGUGGCGAACGGGUGAGUAACACGUGAGCAACCUGCCCUGGACUCUGGGAUAAGCGCUGGAAACGGCGUCUAAUACUGGAUAUGAGCUUCUACCGCAUGGUGGGGGUUGGAAAGAUUUUUCGGUCUGGGAUGGGCUCGCGGCCUAUCAGCUUGUUGGUGAGGUAAUGGCUCACCAAGGCGUCGACGGGUAGCCGGCCUGAGAGGGUGACCGGCCACACUGGGACUGAGACACGGCCCAGACUCCUACGGGAGGCAGCAGUGGGGAAUAUUGCACAAUGGGCGGAAGCCUGAUGCAGCAACGCCGCGUGAGGGAUGACGGCCUUCGGGUUGUAAACCUCUUUUAGCAAGGAAGAAGCGAAAGUGACGGUACUUGCAGAAAAAGCGCCGGCUAACUACGUGCCAGCAGCCGCGGUAAUACGUAGGGCGCAAGCGUUAUCCGGAAUUAUUGGGCGUAAAGAGCUCGUAGGCGGUUUGUCGCGUCUGCUGUGAAAUCCCGAGGCUCAACCUCGGGCCUGCAGUGGGUACGGGCAGACUAGAGUGCGGUAGGGGAGAUUGGAAUUCCUGGUGUAGCGGUGGAAUGCGCAGAUAUCAGGAGGAACACCGAUGGCGAAGGCAGAUCUCUGGGCCGUAACUGACGCUGAGGAGCGAAAGGGUGGGGAGCAAACAGGCUUAGAUACCCUGGUAGUCCACCCCGUAAACGUUGGGAACUAGUUGUGGGGUCCUUUCCACGGAUUCCGUGACGCAGCUAACGCAUUAAGUUCCCCGCCUGGGGAGUACGGCCGCAAGGCUAAAACUCAAAGGAAUUGACGGGGACCCGCACAAGCGGCGGAGCAUGCGGAUUAAUUCGAUGCAACGCCAAAA